RNAcentral lists this ribosomal RNA (424 nucleotides) under uncultured bacterium. RNAcentral's name for it is "partial 16S ribosomal RNA". It matches the Rfam family "Bacterial small subunit ribosomal RNA", at positions 360 to 776 of the family's 1533-position model. The record is from RNAcentral.
AAUAUUGGACAAUGGGCGAAAGCCUGAUCCAGCCAUGCCGCGUGUGUGAAGAAUGUCUUCGGAUUGUAAAGCACUUCAUGUUGGGAGGAAGGGUCGUAGGCUACUACCCUGCAAUUCUCUCGUCACCAACUGAAUAAGCACCGGCUCACUCAGUGCCAGCAUCCGCGGUAAUACUGAGGGUGCAAGGGUUAACCGGAAUUACUGGGCGUAAAGCGCGCGUAGGUGGUUUGUUAAGUUGGAAGUGAAAGCCCCGGGCUCAACCUGGGAACUGCUUUCAAAACUGACGAGCUAGAGUACGGUAGAGGGUAGUGGAAUUUCCUGUGUAGCGGUGAAAUGCGUAGAUAUAGGAAGGAACAUCAGUGGCGAAGGCGACUACCUGGACUGAUACUGACACUGAGGUGCGAAAGCGUGGGGAGCAAACAGG